RNAcentral lists this unclassified non-coding RNA (433 nucleotides) under soil metagenome. Its description in RNAcentral is "partial contains 5.8S ribosomal RNA, internal transcribed spacer 2, and large subunit ribosomal RNA". The stretch from base 1 to 120 matches the Rfam family "5.8S ribosomal RNA", at positions 35 to 154 of the family's 154-position model. The record is from RNAcentral.
GAUGAAGAACGUAGCGAAAUGCGAUACGUAAUGUGAAUUGCAGAAUUCAGUGAAUCAUCGAAUCUUUGAACGCAUAUUGCGCUCUCUGGUAUUCCGGAGAGCAUGCUUGUUUGAGUAUCAGUAAACACCUCAACUUCCAUAUCUUUUUUUGAAAUGGGAGUUGGACUUGAGUGAUCCCAACGCUUUUCCUCACCGAAAAGUGGCGGGUUACUUGAAAUGCAGGUGCAGCUGGACUUUUCUCUGAGCUAUAAGCAUAUAUAUUUAGUCUGCCUAAAAAACAGAUUAUUACCUUUGCUGCAGCUAACAUAAAGGAGAUUAGUUCUUGUGCUGACUGAUGCAGGAUUCACAAAGACAGCUUCGGCCGACUUUGUAAACUCGAUCUCAAAUCAAGUAAGACUACCCGCUGAACUUAAGCAUAUCAAUAAGCGGAGGA